UGUCAUGCGUGCCUCACCAUUGUUUGUCACACAGAGGAGUCGGCCGCAGCUCAAGGAGGACAACCGCAGCCAGAAGACACAGGAGAAGGGCUGCGUACCAGAAGAUCGCAGGUACACUUUACAUGCUCAUCUUCAGGUGCAAGAACGAUGUGAUGUCCACUUGUCCAGAUGGACAAUCUGUGCCACUGAGGAAGUCUCAGCCCUAGAACAGUGGAAGAUAAGAAUUAUUAAUCAUUUCCAAGGGCACAUAAAAUAAUUCACAAUAGCAAUGAGGCAAACCAAGAGAAAAGAAUUGUGCAGGAAUUCAGAGAAUGUGAUAAGGGAUGCAGAAAUCUAAAGCAACAAAAAUCCUCUCCAGACCAGGAGGGGGAAGGAGUAGAGAUUAAAUGAAGUAUCAACAAGGACUCUGCACCUGACCUAUGGUUCUCUAAUGGUAUUGGGGGAGGAAUUCAUAACCUGCAUUCUGUACAGUUACUGCCUACGCUGGAAUUCUUUUAAGCACUUGUUAUCUGUUAUCAUAGCCUGGCAUCUUAUAAACACACAGGUUUCUAUUUCCUUCAGUGCCAGUUUCCAGCCUAUAAUGAUCAGAUCUACCUAGUCUAUCUUAGUUCUAAACUCUGUGUUUAAAUAACAUUAGAAUUACUUAAAAUACAAACUAGAGAAUUGGUCUUUGGUACUCACACUUAUCAAGGUACUUAAGAUUCUUUGCAUUUUACUGGCUUAUAAAUCCCUAUUGUGGUAUAGCUCUAGUACACAAAGGCUGAGGAGCCAUAAUGAUGUGGAUCACUGGUGCUAUACAGCCCAUCGCAUGGUCAUUUGCAGCCCCAAAUUAAUCAUGUGUCCCUAGGCACCAUACUGUUUCGGGUCCCCUUCCUACCUUCAUUGGUAGAGAAAGUCCAAGAUAGAAAAAGGAACCUAAUUUGGCUAAUGCAUACCCUCCAACACGGCUGAACCUAAAAUUGGUACAAAUUAGGGAAGGGGUGUGGCCACGAAUAAAGGGGGUGUGGCGCUCCUAUAGGAAUCAAUAGGAUUGGGAGAAGCCGAAACCCAGUACAAAGCCCUUUAUGGCCCAUACAGACCACAAAAAACAUGCUAAUGGAUGGUCUUUCUAAGGUCAUGUUAUAGAAUGCCAAGUGUCCUAGGACAGUCCAAUACCUCCCUGUCAGCCCAGAACAAAUCAUGGUACUGUAACUAAGGGUUACCACUGUGCAUGUAGGCAGCAGAAUAAUGAGCAGGAAGAGGAUCCAUCGAUGUAUCCUUGGAACAGAAGAAAAGCUGCCUUGGGCACGACGAUGCUUGGAGACACAGUUUCAGAACUGACUAUAGUCAGUUGUCUUUCAGCUUUGAAGAACCAGCAGCAGGACUUUGUCAGUAUGAAGACUACAGUACAUUUGACC
This is a long non-coding RNA of Pseudophryne corroboree (corroboree frog), 1397 nucleotides long. RefSeq lists it as uncharacterized. The transcript is spliced from 4 exons. NCBI's taxonomy places the organism in Eukaryota, Metazoa, Chordata, Amphibia, Anura, Myobatrachidae. The record is from RefSeq and is a predicted model, not a curated record.